Molecule: long non-coding RNA, 419 nt
Organism: Drosophila teissieri
Lineage: Eukaryota; Metazoa; Arthropoda; Insecta; Diptera; Drosophilidae
Exons: 3
Source: RefSeq, a predicted model, not a curated record
CAAAAAGUAUCCAGUGCAAGUUUCAAUUUCAGUUAGUUUUUAUUUUUAAACUUUUCAAAUCGCUUUUCGUAUAUAUAUCACAUGAUUAUAUGUUCAAGUUCAACAAGUUCUUCUAAAGAAGCAUUAACAUUACACAAUUGACGAAGAGUUUCUUGCGUCGGAACGAUGAGGUGUCGAGGACCUUGGCGGAAGACAUGGCGGAGCACGGACUUUCGAAAUCGUGUACCUGAACGUACCUGCCCAUCGAAUCCACACUGAAAGCGGAUAGGUUAUAUUCUAGUCCAUGGGUCCAGCGGGUCCUCGCCGGAAAGGAAGUCGGAGGCAUAGCAAUCACGAUUGGCAAUGGGUGUGGAUCCUACCAGCUGGAACUCCACCCGAGGCACCAAAGGCACUCCUUUUGACGAAGGCGAAGAGGGAAC